RNAcentral lists this ribosomal RNA (250 nucleotides) under uncultured bacterium. Its description in RNAcentral is "partial 16S ribosomal RNA". It matches the Rfam family "Bacterial small subunit ribosomal RNA", at positions 524 to 776 of the family's 1533-position model. The record is from RNAcentral.
UACGAAGGGGGCUAGCGUUGUUCGGAAUUACUGGGCGUAAAGCGCACGUAGGCGGAUAUUUAAGUCAGGGGUGAAAUCCCAGAGCUCAACUCUGGAACUGCCUUUGAUACUGGGUAUCUUGAGUAUGGAAGAGGUAAGUGGAAUUGCGAGUGUAGAGGUGAAAUUCGUAGAUAUUCGCAGGAACACCAGUGGCGAAGGCGCUUGACUGGUCCUACUGACGCUGAGGUGGCGAAAGCGUGGGAGCAACAGG